This 1373-nucleotide ribosomal RNA is filed under the name Salmonella enterica subsp. enterica serovar Enteritidis. Its description in RNAcentral is "partial 23S ribosomal RNA". It matches the Rfam family "Bacterial large subunit ribosomal RNA", at positions 1446 to 2802 of the family's 2925-position model. The record is from RNAcentral. Lineage: Bacteria; Pseudomonadati; Pseudomonadota; Gammaproteobacteria; Enterobacterales; Enterobacteriaceae.
UGGUGUUACUGCGAAGGGGGGACGGAGAAGGCUAUGUUGGCCGGGCGACGGUUGUCCCGGUUUAAGCGUGUAGGUGUGUGUUCCAGGUAAAUCCGGUUCACUUUAACACUGAGGCGUGACGACGAGGCACUACGGUGCUGAAGCAACAAAUGCCCUGCUUCCAGGAAAAGCCUCUAAGCAUCAGGUAACAUCAAAUCGUACCCCAAACCGACACAGGUGGUCAGGUAGAGAAUACCAAGGCGCUUGAGAGAACUCGGGUGAAGGAACUAGGCAAAAUGGUGCCGUAACUUCGGGAGAAGGCACGCUGACACGUAGGUGAAGUGAUUUACUCAUGGAGCUGAAGUCAGUCGAAGAUACCAGCUGGCUGCAACUGUUUAUUAAAAACACAGCACUGUGCAAACACGAAAGUGGACGUAUACGGUGUGACGCCUGCCCGGUGCCGGAAGGUUAAUUGAUGGGGUCAGCGCAAGCGAAGCUCCUGAUCGAAGCCCCGGUAAACGGCGGCCGUAACUAUAACGGUCCUAAGGUAGCGAAAUUCCUUGUCGGGUAAGUUCCGACCUGCACGAAUGGCGUAAUGAUGGCCAGGCUGUCUCCACCCGAGACUCAGUGAAAUUGAACUCGCUGUGAAGAUGCAGUGUACCCGCGGCAAGACGGAAAGACCCCGUGAACCUUUACUAUAGCUUGACACUGAACAUUGAGCCUUGAUGUGUAGGAUAGGUGGGAGGCUUUGAAGUGUGGACGCCAGUCUGCAUGGAGCCGACCUUGAAAUACCACCCUUUAAUGUUUGAUGUUCUAACGUGGACCCGUUACCCGGGUUGCGGACAGUGUCUGGUGGGUAGUUUGACUGGGGCGGUCUCCUCCUAAAGAGUAACGGAGGAGCACGAAGGUUGGCUAAUCCUGGUCGGACAUCAGGAGGUUAGUGCAAUGGCAUAAGCCAGCUUGACUGCGAGCGUGACGGCGCGAGCAGGUGCGAAAGCAGGUCAUAGUGAUCCGGUGGUUCUGAAUGGAAGGGCCAUCGCUCAACGGAUAAAAGGUACUCCGGGGAUAACAGGCUGAUACCGCCCAAGAGUUCAUAUCGACGGCGGUGUUUGGCACCUCGAUGUCGGCUCAUCACAUCCUGGGGCUGAAGUAGGUCCCAAGGGUAUGGCUGUUCGCCAUUUAAAGUGGUACGCGAGCUGGGUUUAGAACGUCGUGAGACAGUUCGGUCCCUAUCUGCCGUGGGCGCUGGAGAACUGAGGGGGGCUGCUCCUAGUACGAGAGGACCGGAGUGGACGCAUCACUGGUGUUCGGGUUGUCAUGCCAAUGGCACUGCCCGGUAGCUAAAUGCGGAAGAGAUAAGUGCUGAAAGCAUCUAAGCACGAAACUUGCCCCGA